Molecule: ribosomal RNA, 368 nt
Filed under: uncultured organism
Description: bacterial SSU rRNA
Rfam family: Bacterial small subunit ribosomal RNA
Source: RNAcentral
CGGAGGGUGCAAGCGUUAUCCGGAUUUACUGGGUUUAAAGGGUGCGUAGGUGGGCGAGAAAGUCAGUGGUGAAAUCUCCGGGCUUAACCCGGAAACUGCCAUUGAUACUAUUUGUCUUGAAUACUUUGGAGGUAAGCGGAAUAUGUCAUGUAGCGGUGAAAUGCUUAGAUAUGACAUAGAACACCAAUUGCGCAGGCAGCUUACUACACAGUAAUUGACACUGAGGCACGAAAGCGUGGGGAUCAAACAGGAUUAGAUACCCUGGUAGUCCACGCCCUAAACGAUGGAUACUUGACAUUAGCGAUAUACAGUUAGUGUCUGAGCGAAAGCAUUAAGUAUCCCACCUGGGAAGUACGAUCGCAAGAUUG